AUGGUGGAAGCCGAAAAACCAGAAGAGAGUAGGCG
RNAcentral lists this non-coding RNA (35 nucleotides) under unclassified sequences. RNAcentral describes it as "DUF805b RNA". It matches the Rfam family "DUF805b RNA". Rfam says of the family: Bacteroidetes, Chlorobi (1 example), Proteobacteria. The record is from RNAcentral.